This 542-nucleotide ribosomal RNA is filed under the name uncultured eukaryote. RNAcentral's name for it is "eukaryotic LSU rRNA". It matches the Rfam family "Eukaryotic large subunit ribosomal RNA", at positions 1144 to 1687 of the family's 3401-position model. The record is from RNAcentral.
ACAGAACUGGCGAUGUGGGAUGAACCAAACGUAAAGUUAAAGUGCCUAAAAAUACGUUCAUCAGACACCACAAAGGUGUUGAUUCAUCUUGACAGUUGGACAGUGGCCAUGGAAGUCGGAAUCUGCUAAGGAGUGUGUAACAACUCACCAACCGAAUGAAUUAGCCCUGAAAAUGGAUGGCGCUUAAACGUAUUACUUAUACUUUACCAUUAAAAUAAAUGCUAAAUUUUAAUGAGUAGGAGGGCGUAUGGAUAAUUUAGAAGAUUAACAGUGAUGUUGAUUGGAAUUAUCUUUAGUGCAGAUCUUGGUGGUAGUAGCAAAUAUUCAAUAGAGAACAUUGAAGACUGAAGUGGAGAAAGGUUUCACAUGAACAACACUUGGAUGUGAGUUAGUCGAUCCUAAACGGUGGGUUAACUCCAAAUACAUGGAUACUUGUAUCCUGUACCGUGAAAGGGAAACAGGUUAAAAUUCCUGUACUAUAUCAAGGAGGUAAAGUGGUAACACAAAUAAACCCAAAAUACAUCAGUAGAAUAACCAGGAAG